GGGCCGUCGCCAAGUGGUAAGGCAGCGGGUUUUGGUCCCGCCAUUCCUAGGUUCGAAUCCUAGCGGCCCAGU
RNAcentral lists this transfer RNA (72 nucleotides) under Synechococcus sp. WH 8109. RNAcentral describes it as "tRNA-Gln". It matches the Rfam family "tRNA". From Rfam's summary of the family: Transfer RNA (tRNA) molecules are approximately 80 nucleotides in length. Their secondary structure includes four short double-helical elements and three loops (D, anti-codon, and T loops). The record is from RNAcentral. Lineage: Bacteria; Bacillati; Cyanobacteriota; Cyanophyceae; Synechococcales; Synechococcaceae.